UACGUAGGGGGCAAGCGUUGUCCGGAAUUAUUGGGCGUAAAGAGCUCGUAGGCGGCUUGUCGAGUCUGAUGUGAAAACUCGGGGCUUAACCCCGGGCCUGCAGUGGGUACGGGCAGACUAGAGUGCGGUAGGGGAGACUGGAAUUCCUGGUGUAGCGGUGAAAUGCGCAGAUAUCAGGAGGAACACCGGUGGCGAAGGCGGGUCUCUGGGCCAUAACUGACGCUGAGAAGCGAAAGCAUGGGGAGCGAACAGG
Molecule: ribosomal RNA, 253 nt
Filed under: uncultured bacterium
Lineage: Bacteria
Description: partial 16S ribosomal RNA
Rfam family: Bacterial small subunit ribosomal RNA
Source: RNAcentral